GAUUGACGUAAGUUAUAUGAUCAUGUAACUUAACGAGCAUCAUGUAUUUGGCCAAGCCAUUCAAUGCUUUCUUCUUUACUGGUGAAAAAGAUGAAAAUACUAAAGUCCAACUUUUGGCUGGGUCAAACUAGCCUUUGACUUUUCCAAAAAUACUUAGGUCAUGCUAUGGUACAUAAUAUCUUAUAUACAGUAAUUCUAAGUUGUCAUUCAAAUAAAAAAAUUACAGCAUAUAAAAUAAAAGAGUUGUCAUGGGUGACAACUCACGGAUAACAUGACCUAGCCCAUAACUUGUUUGAUAUUUCCACAAGCAACAAUCAUAUGCUUGAGUAAGUUGGUGAACUAAUAAUGCAAGUAUAUAUUUAAGCUCCCUGUUUAAUGUUAAUCAGUUUGUAUCCUAUGAUUUGAUUUCAAAUAUAUAUAAAUAUUAAUUGAUCACCUAACUUCUGUCUAAUGUGAUUUCAAAUAUAUAUAAAUAUUAAUUGAUCACCUAACUUCUGUCUAAUGUGAUUUCAAAUAUAUAUAAA
Molecule: long non-coding RNA, 524 nt
Filed under: Citrus maxima (pomelo)
Lineage: Eukaryota; Viridiplantae; Streptophyta; Magnoliopsida; Sapindales; Rutaceae
Description: long non-coding RNA (CMAX_LNC000370)
Source: RNAcentral